CAAGCAGUGGGAGCACAGGUUUACCUGUGUGACUGCGUACCUUUUGUAUAAUGGGUCAGCGACUUAUAUUCUGUAGCAAGGUUAACCGAAUAGGGGAGCCGGAGGGAAACCGAGUCUUAAUUGGGCGUUAAGUUGCAGGGUAUAGACCCGAAACCCGGUGAUCUAGCCAUGGGCAGGUUGAAGGUUGGGUAACACUAACUGGAGGACCGAACCGACUAAUGUUGAAAAAUUAGCGGAUGACCUGUGGCUGGGGGUGAAAGGCCAAUCAAACCGGGAGAUAGCUGGUUCUCCCCGAAAGCUAUUUAGGUAGCGCCUCGUGAAUUCAUCUCCGGGGGUAGAGCACUGUUUCGGCUAGGGGGCCAUCCCGGCUUACCAACCCGAUGCAAACUGCGAAUACCGGAGAAUGUUAUCACGGGAGACACACGGCGGGUGCUAACGUCCGUCGUGAAGAGGGAAACAACCCAGACCGCCAGCUAAGGUCCCAAAGUCAUGGUUAAGUGGGAAACGAUGUGGGAAGGCCCAGACAGCCAGGAUGUUGGCUUAGAAGCAGCCAUCAUUUAAAGAAAGCGUAAUAGCUCACUGGUCGAGUCGGCCUGCGCGGAAGAUGUAACGGGGCUAAACCAUGCACCGAAGCUGCGGCAGCGACGCUUAUGCGUUGUUGGGUAGGGGAGCGUUCUGUAAGCCUGUGAAGGUGGCCUGUGAGGGUUGCUGGAGGUAUCAGAAGUGCGAAUGCUGACAUAAGUAACGAUAAAGCGGGUGAAAAGCCCGCUCGCCGGAAGACCAAGGGUUCCUGUCCAACGUUAAUCGGGGCAGGGUGAGUCGACCCCUAAGGCGAGGCCGAAAGGCGUAGUCGAUGGGAAACGGGUUAAUAUUCCCGUACUUGGUGUUACUGCGAAGGGGGGACGGAGAAGGCUAUGUUGGCCGGGCGACGGUUGUCCCGGUUUAAGCGUGUAGGUGUGUGUUCCAGGUAAAUCCGGUUCACUUUAACACUGAGGCGUGAUGACGAGGCACUACGGUGCUGAAGUAACAAAUGCCCUGCUUCCAGGAAAAGCCUCUAAGCAUCAGGUAACAUCAAAUCGUACCCCAAACCGACACAGGUGGUCAGGUAGAGAAUACCAAGGCGCUUGAGAGAACUCGGGUGAAGGAACUAGGCAAAA
Molecule: ribosomal RNA, 1157 nt
Filed under: Salmonella enterica
Lineage: Bacteria; Pseudomonadati; Pseudomonadota; Gammaproteobacteria; Enterobacterales; Enterobacteriaceae
Description: partial 23S ribosomal RNA
Rfam family: Bacterial large subunit ribosomal RNA
Source: RNAcentral